This 381-nucleotide long non-coding RNA is filed under the name Homo sapiens (human). Its description in RNAcentral is "non-protein coding lnc-MAP3K9-3:10". The record is from RNAcentral. Lineage: Eukaryota; Metazoa; Chordata; Mammalia; Primates; Hominidae.
CGCGAUCUCAGCUUACUUCAGCCUCCGCCUCCCGGUUUCAAGUGAAUUCUCCAGCCUCAACUUCACAAGUAGCUGGGAUUACAGGGCAUUCAAGCAGCCCUGAGGAGAGGUCCACAUGGUGAGCCACUGAGGGCCUUGCCAAGAGCCAGCACCAACGGUCCAGGUUUGGAGUGUACCACCUUGGAAGUGAAUCUUCCAGUCCAGUCAAGCCUUCAGAUGACUUCAGAACCGUCCAUGUAAGCCACUCUUGGAUUCCUGACCCACAGAAACUGUUGGAGCUGCCAAUUUGCAGGAAAUAGAGGAGAGAAGCAUCUGUUGAACUGCACCAUGAGUAUACACUCAGCAAAGGCCAAACUGUGGAAAAUGAUACAGGUCAAACAG